UGAACGCUGGCGGCGUGCCUACUACAUGCAAGUCGAGCGACCGGACGAGAAGCUUGCUUUUCUGAUGUUAGCGGCGGACGGGUGAGUAACACGUGGAUAACCUACCUAUAAGACUGGGAUAACUUCGGGAAACCGGAGCUAAUACCGGAUAAUAUUUUGAACCGCAUGGUUCAAAAGUGAAAGACGGUCUUGCUGUCACUUAUAGAUGGAUCCGCGCUGCAUUAGCUAGUUGGUAAGGUAACGGCUUACCAAGGCAACGAUGCAUAGCCGACCUGAGAGGGUGAUCGGCCACACUGGAACUGAGACACGGUCCAGACUCCUACGGGAGGCAGCAGUAGGGAAUCUUCCGCAAUGGGCGAAAGCCUGACGGAGCAACGCCGCGUGAGUGAUGAAGGUCUUCGGAUCGUAAAACUCUGUUAUUAGGGAAGAACAUAUGUGUAAGUAACUGUGCACAUCUUGACGGUACCUAAUCAGAAAGCCACGGCUAACUACGUG
RNAcentral lists this ribosomal RNA (495 nucleotides) under uncultured bacterium. RNAcentral describes it as "partial 16S ribosomal RNA". It matches the Rfam family "Bacterial small subunit ribosomal RNA", at positions 30 to 507 of the family's 1533-position model. The record is from RNAcentral.